This 466-nucleotide ribosomal RNA is filed under the name uncultured bacterium. RNAcentral describes it as "partial 16S ribosomal RNA". It matches the Rfam family "Bacterial small subunit ribosomal RNA", at positions 28 to 507 of the family's 1533-position model. The record is from RNAcentral.
GAUGAACGCGGGCGGCGUGCUUAACACAUGCAAGUCGAACGAUGAAGCCCAGCUUGCUGGGUGGAUUAGUGGCGAACGGGUGAGUAACACGUGAGUAACCUGCCCUUAACUCUGGGAUAAGCCUGGGAAACUGGGUCUAAUACCGGAUAGGAGCGUCCACCGCAUGGUGGGUGUUGGAAAGAUUUAUCGGUUUUGGAUGGACUCGCGGCCUAUCAGCUUGUUGGUGAGGUAAUGGCUCACCAAGGCGACGACGGGUAGCCGGCCUGAGAGGGUGACCGGCCACACUGGGACUGAGACACGGCCCAGACUCCUACGGGAGGCAGCAGUGGGGAAUAUUGCACAAUGGGCGCAAGCCUGAUGCAGCGACGCCGCGUGAGGGAUGACGGCCUUCGGGUUGUAAACCUCUUUCAGUAGGGAAGAAGCGAAAGUGACGGUACCUGCAGAAGAAGCACCGGCUAACUACGUG